GAAGGCAGGUCUCUGGGCAUUACCUGACGCUGAGGAGCGAAGCAUGGGGAGCGAACAGGAUUAGAUACCUGGUAGUCCAUGCCGUAAACGUUGGGCACUAAGGUGUGGGGGACAUUCCACGUUUUCCGGCGCCGUAGCUAACGCAUUAAGUGCCCCGCCUGGGGAGUACGGCCGCAAAGGCUAAAACUCAAAGGAAUUGACGGGGGCCCGCACAAGCGGCGGAGCAUGCGGAUUAAUUCGAUGCAACGCGAAGAACCUUACCAAGGCUUGACAUUGUGCCAGACCGCCGUGGAAACACGGUUUCCCCUUUGGGGCUGGUUCACAGGUGGUGCAUGGUUGUCGUCAGCUCGUGUCGUGAGAUGUUGGGUUAAGUCCCGCAACGAGCGCAACCCUCGUUCCAUGUUGCCAGCGCGUAAAGGCGGGGACUCAUGGGAGACUGCCGGGGUCAACUCGGAGGAAGGUGGGGACGACCGUCAAAUCAUCAUGCCCCUUAUGUCUUGGGCUUCACGCAUGCUACAAUGGCCGGUACAAUGGGUUGCGAUACUGUGAGGUGGAGCUAAUCCCAAAAAGGCCGGUCUCAGUUCGGAUUGGGGUCUGCAACUCGACCCCAUGAAGUCGGAGUCGCUAGUAAUCGCAGAUCAGCAACGCUGCGGUGAAUACGUUCCCGGGGCCUUGUACACACCGCCCGUCAAGUCACGAAAGUUGGUAACACCCGAAGCCGGUGGCCUAACCCCUUGUGGGAGGGAGCCGUCGAAGGU
This 758-nucleotide ribosomal RNA is filed under the name Paeniglutamicibacter sulfureus. RNAcentral's name for it is "bacterial SSU rRNA". It matches the Rfam family "Bacterial small subunit ribosomal RNA", at positions 717 to 1463 of the family's 1533-position model. Lineage: Bacteria; Bacillati; Actinomycetota; Actinomycetes; Micrococcales; Micrococcaceae. The record is from RNAcentral.